This is a non-coding RNA of Aethina tumida (small hive beetle), 66 nucleotides long. The record is from the annotation of a RefSeq genome assembly. NCBI's taxonomy places the organism in Eukaryota, Metazoa, Arthropoda, Insecta, Coleoptera, Nitidulidae.
AAGGAUUUAAGUUAAACAUAAACUAGUAGCCUUCAAAGCUGAAAAUAGAGGCUUCUCUAAGCCUUG